CCGGGUGGGACUGGCCGGGCGUCGUAGCGGCGGCGACUGCGAGCCGAGCCCGGAGAAUGGCAGGGGCUAGAGUCGCUGCGGAGGCUGCUGCUGGUUUCUCUCCUUCGCCGCCUCCUCGCGCCCGCCGGGAACUUUUCCUAGCGGCUGGUGGCGGCGCCUCCCCCCGGUGGUGGCGGCGGCGGCGGCUGCUGCGUUUGGCGGUGCCUCCCGGGCCGGGGCUGGGGCUCCUGGGGCUGGUUUUCUCUCGUUUCUGCUGCAGUGCCUUAGCUGGACCGGUUGUUGAUCCACAUGUGACAGCAGUUUGGGGGAAGAAGGUUGCACUGAAAUGCGUAAUUGAUGUAAAUGAAACAAUAACACAAGUUUCCUGGGAGAAGAUAGAUGGUAAAAGUUCACAGACUAUUGCUGUUCAUCACCCUGAAUAUGGAAUAUCUGUUCAAGGAGAAUACCAAGGAAGAGUGGCAUUUAAAAACUACUCACUUACUGAUGCAACAAUCAUCUUAAAAAAUGUAAGCUUUUCUGAUGCAGGAGAAUAUGUUUGCAAGGCAGUUACAUUCCCACUUGGAAAUACACAGUCAUCAACAACUGUAACAGUAUUAGUUGAACCUGUUGUGAGCUUAAAGAAAGGACCAAACCCUCUAAUAGAUGGUGCAAAUAGGACAGUAGCAGCCACUUGUACAGCAGCCACUGGAAAACCUGCUGCGCAGAUUGACUGGGAAGGAGGCCUUGGUGAAAUGGAAUCCACCUCUACUUUGUUUCCAAAUGAAACAGUGACAGUUGUAAGCCACUAUGUGAUUGUCCCAACACGAUUUGCUAGAGGAAGACACAUAACUUGUGUUGUGAGGCACCCCACCUUUGAAAAGGAGAUGCGAUACACUUACGUGUUGGACAUACAGUAUACCCCAGAAGUUUCAGUAACUGGGUAUGAUGGAAACUGGUUCAUUGGAAGAGGAAAUGUUCAGCUCAAAUGUAAUGCCGAUGCAAAUCCAUUACCUAUGGAAUUCAUGUGGACCAGGUUGGAUGGACAGUGGCCUGAAGGAUUGUUGGCUGUUAACAAUACUCUGCAAUUCAGCAGCCCUUUGACUUAUAACUACACUGGGACUUAUAUCUGUAAGGUCACUAAUGCUCUUGGUCAGAAAAGUGAUCAGAAGACUAUCUACAUAUUAGAUGUGCCCUUUAAGCAGACAUCUUCUGUUGCUGUAGCAGGGGCUGUGAUUGGAGCAGUCCUUGCUCUUUUUAUCAUUACCAUCUUUGUGACAGUGCUGCUGACCCCAAGGAAGAAAAGGCCAGCCUAUCUUGACAAAGUGAUUGAUCUUCCACCCACUCACAAACCAGCCUCAUUUGGAGAGAGAACGUUGUCAGUGCCACAGAAAGAAGCUAUGCUUCAGCAGGUGAUGGCAUUAAAAUGAAGAGAAAUUAACUGGACCUGUGAAUAGUACUGGACGGCCGGUAUCUUUCAUGGAUACUUCUUGAGACUUGGAAACUUUCAGUUUACUUUAAAUAUACAUUCUCAUUUACCUGCUUGUGUUAAUAAUGAGCUAUCAGUAUGUACAAGUACUAUGUAACUGAGUACUCAUAAUUUCUCUGUACUGGUUUUUGAAGAUACCAAUUCAUGUGUUCUUGUGAGUCACUUCAGAACUGAGAAAAACUGGUUCACUUAUGGCCCUAAAAGAGGAAGGCAAAAGUCCAAAGCGUAAAAAUACAAUGGAAAAAAAUUACAUUAUAGCUUUAUUUACUAUGAAGACUUGUCAACUCUUUUGUCAACAGCACUGUUACUUUUGUCCAGGUAUUCUUUUAAUAAUCAUUGCCAUGGAAACGCUAUUCUGUUGCUCAGAACUAUCUAUUACAGGUAAUGUGAAAGAGUGGUGAGCAGCCUGAAGGUUAUGUCCUUGUUGAGAGAGGAAUCUCUGCUUAACAAUAUGGGUUUUGAGGUGAAUAAGGAAGAAGUUGAGCAAUGGAAUAUUUCCAGUGGCUUAAACAGGAAUUUUUCUAUUGCAUAAUAUUUUAAAAAGGAGUGUAAGAGGGUGCACUAAUUCUGGGAGUCCUUGGCAUCAUUAGAGUAAGCUUCACUGUUUCAAACAAUAUAUUGCUAAGAAGCAAAAACUUAUUUACUUUCCUCUAAACAUGCUUAAGAUGGGCAGUCUUUGACAAUGUUAAAGAACUGAAGUUAUUAUUAAUUUGACAGGUACUUCUGAAGGAAAGAAAAAAACAUGUUUUGCACAAUGCAGUGCAGCAUUCAGAGUUGUUGAAGGAUUUAGAAUUUAACAAGGCUCUUUUGUAACUAUAGAAAUAGGAGUGGAUAAGGGAAAUGCAGCCCAGUAAGUAUGUCUGGCCAUGAGAAGACUGACUUGAGACUUCCAGGUUGGAAGAAUGCCUCACUAUUUAGACAAGCAGAGUUCUUUAACUGUAAUAUUUGUAUUACUGAUCAAAACAGGAAAGAAAAAUAUGAAGUUGUCUUAGCACCAUUAAAAGUAUCAAAUACCAUUUAUCAAAUGAUGAUAUUUCUGAAUCAAAUUUGAAAACAUCAGCCACUGAGCCCUUAAACCUAGUAUAAUACUGAUUCAUUUAUGGAUUAUGGUUCUCUUGCACUCUUCUAUUUCUUUUCCUAAUGCUUUUUAUACAGGUGGGAAUAUCUCUUCCUUGAUGAAAAAGGAAGCAGUAUUGUUAUUAUUUGCCUUAAACCAAAGAACUGUUUAGACAAACAAGAUUGAAUGGAAGGGAACACAAAAUGUGCAUCAAUAAAAUAAUCUGUAUUGAUGAAGGAUCUUGCAAUAGGAAAAACAAAAUUACCAGAUUGGGGUUAGAAUGAGGCACAUGCUAUUCUGGUUUCCAGUGAGUCUCUAAAUCAUGUCCACAUCCACUGUUGGUAGAAUUCCUCAAGCAAGCAGAUUUGUUGUUGUUGUUUUGUUUUGAUUUUUGUUUAAAGAACAUUAGCUUUUGGUGGAGAUGGGACUUUUUUUGUUCCCCAUGUGUGUUUUGUCUCCUUGUGUGGUGAACUCAUGCUCUCAGCUCAGGUUUGAAGGAGCAACACUGCCUGCUAAGUAGUAAGUCACAUAUUCUCAGAAAUGCAGACUGCAUUUUAGGACUUGAGAAGCAAAAGCACGUUGACUUUAAGGGCAGGAGGGGAUACUUUGAAAUAGAAUUAUAAGACAAAAAGCUUGACAAACUAAAGUUGAAAAAUAAACCUGUGAAGAUGGUGAAAAAUAACUGUUGGACGAGUGGAAAAAGUUAGGAAAUAUUAGAUGAUUUUUGAAGAAAUUUUACAUAUUAAAACUUAACUCAAAAUUACUUCAAAACUUUACUAAACAAAUGUGGAAAGGUAAAAAGUUAAGGGGAAGGAGGAGAAAGUAAGAACAAAAUAUUACUGAGAUUGGGUUCUCUUCAAAAUAGUUCUUGAAAGUAAGAAUACGGAUAUAUGACCACUGGAAAUGUUACCUACCUGUAUGAAUACUUGUGGAGGGGCUUCUGCACAAAGAUCAGCAACCUAGCCUACUUUGUGUUGCUGCUAGCACUGUGAUACUGUUGGGAAAAGAUGGAAUUUCAAAACAAAAAAUACAUACGAUUGUGCGAAGGUGUUGCUUUAGCCUAUUGUGGUCCUGUACUAUGUGUAGCAUAAAGGAAGAACUUUACUAGGAGUGAUGAUACCAGAGUACAAACUGUACCCUAAAUCGUAAUUCUUAGAUGGCAUUACUUGGUGUGAUUUAAUCAGCCGUUAACUCAGGCAGUUGGUGAUUAACUGGAUGUUUGAAAACAGUCCAUUUCACAAAUGAAGUUUUUCUAUCAUAAUGGUGAAGAAAAAAAUAAACGUGAAAGAAGGGAGAUUUCAAUGCUUCUGCAUGAAGUAACUUCUCAUCCACCAACAUUCUCAAGUCCUGCUCCUCAGAACUGCUCUCAAUCACUUCUCUGCCCAGCUUGUGUUUGUGUUUAUGAUUGCUCUUACCUGUGUUUAUGAUUGCACCUGAAAGGUGCAGGACUUUUCUCUUGGCCUUGUUGAACUUCACAAGGUUCACACAGAGCCACCUCUCAAGCCUGCCAAGGUCCCUCUGGAGGGCAUCCCUUUGCCUUCAGUAUGUUACACACCACACAGCUUGGUGUUAUUUGCAAACUUGCUGAGGGUACCUUGAUCCCACUGUCAUGUUGCCAAAGAGAUGUUAAACAGUGCUGGUCCUGAUACGGACCCCUGAGGAAUGUCACUUGUCACUGGUCCUUGCUUGGAUUUUGAGCCAGCAAUGAGCCAUCUCUGAGUGUGACCAUCCAGUCAGUUUUUUAUCCACUGAGUCGUCCACCCAUCAGAUCCAUGUCUCCUCAGUUUAGAGAUGUCAUGUGAGACAGCAUCAAAUGCUUUGCAUAAGUCCAGGUAGGUGACAUCAGUUGCUCUUCCUUUUUCCACCAACACUAUGAUCCUGUCAUAGACAGCCACUAAAUUUGUCAGGCUCAAUUUGCCCUUAGUGAAACCAUGAUGAUGGUUACCCACCAUCUCCUUAUUUUCUAUAUGCCUUAGCAUAGUUUCUGCUCCUUCAUCUUGCUGGGCACUGAAGUGUGGCUGACCUGUAGUUUCUCAGGUCAUCUGUUUUUAGACCUGGGGGUCUUAUUUCCCCUUUCUCAGACAGUGUGCACCACAGUCUUGCCACUACUUCUAAAACAAGGUGGAUAGUGGGUUAGUCACUUCCUGUGAAAGUGUCUUCAGAACUUGCAAAUGUAUCUUAUCAGGUCCACUGAACUUGUUCACCUCCAGAUUCCUUAGCUGAUCUUGAACCUCAUCUCUUAUUGUUGGCAGUUUGGCUGGGGUGAAACUAAUUUUCUUUGCAGUAGCUGAGUAGCUGGUAUGGGGCUGUGUUUGGGAUUUGUGCUGAAAAUAGUGUUGAAAACUCAGGGAAGUUUUUUAUUGCUGGACAGCAUUGGGACUUAUUCUGCUGCUUGUACUGCCCUGCCAGCAGAUGGACUUGGGGUGUACACAGAAUAUUGGGAGGGAGACAAGAUAUUGGGAGAGGGAACACAGCUGGGACAGGUGACCCUGACUGAUCCUCAUCUUUUUUCCAGUCACCAUUGGAUUGUAAGAAGGAUUCUAAAUGAUAACCAGAUAAGACACUACCUAAGGCAGAGUGUAUUUUGGGAUGACUGGUGUUUUUUUGUAUUUACCAAAGCUGUUCUGCAGUUUUGAAUCUUGCCUUGUUUCCCCUGUAACUUUUCUUCUUUCAGAAAGAACAUUUUACUUUGCAGAGCCAGUACAGAGAGAGAGAUGCUGGAAACUUGGAGCACAUGAAAACUGUGAAUGGAAGGCAACUUACUUGUGGAGCUGAAGAGCCACAGGAGCAAGAGGAUCUUCAGCCUAUGUAUCCUGUUUAUCAG
Molecule: RNA transcript, 5346 nt
Organism: Melospiza melodia melodia
Lineage: Eukaryota; Metazoa; Chordata; Aves; Passeriformes; Passerellidae
Gene: NECTIN3
Gene name: nectin cell adhesion molecule 3
Exons: 9
Source: RefSeq, a predicted model, not a curated record